CUCCUGACCUCUAGCGAUCCUCCUGCCUUGGCUUCCUAGCAUUACAGGUGUGAGCCACUUCACCCGGCUUAACUUAAACUUUUAUACCAAAUUGUCCACCAAAUGAUUUCUAUUCUACUCCAGAAAUGUUUUCCUUUUGUCCUUUCCUCGCACUUCAAGUUCUCUUUUCCUCUAUGGACAAUGGUAGCUAACUUGUGUCCUUGCCAGGCCAAACCUUCCUUUAUGCAAUGGCCUAGUUUAUGUUCUUUAAAACAAGCUAAUGUAUGUAAACACUGGUUAAAUCUGAAUAAGGUCUGAAGUAUAAUUGAUAGUAUUGUACCAAUGUCAAUUUCCUGGUUUUGAUAUUUUUUUCAUAGAUUUUUAAGAUGCUACCAUUGGGAAAAGUGUACAUGGGCCUUCUUUGCAAAUUCCUGAGCCUCCAUUCCUCCUUUGCUGAAGGCCCACAGCAGGCCAGGCCCCAGUGCCCCGGGAGGAGGCCUGCACCCUCACAGUGGCAGCAGGAGGGAGAGGUACAGAGAGGUGAAGUUCACGGCCCUGGAAUAUGUUCACCUCAGAGGUCGUGGGACAGAGUCGGAGCAAAAUAUAAGUGUUCCAGUUCUCCACCGCCACUCCAAGAAUGACCGCCAGAGGGCACUCUUUCCCCCGUCUAAGGUCUUUGGUCUUCUGCACAGUAGCCAGGACCCGAGCCCUGGCGUGCCUGGAAUCUGCCUGCUAGCUGGUGUUGAGUUCCUCGGGCUCCCUACAGUCCUGUCCGAGAGAAGAGGGCUGCUCUCCCUCAGUUUCCUUGAGGGAGGACAGAGUCACAGAGAAUGGAGAAUUGGGAGGAGGAGCAGGAGGAGGGAAUCCCUGAAAUAGGGGCAGCCCAGCUAGUGCCCAUCCGAAGCAAGGACAGGAGAAAAGCAAGGACAGUACCAUGCAGUACUGUGUCUGUCUGGGGGCCCUGUAGGGACCAGGGCGGCAGCCUUUUCUUGGGAGCCUGGACGCCUCAAGUCGUCAUAUACUGCUGCUGAUGGGGUGGGGGCACCCCCAGAUCAGCCAGUGAGAAGGACUGCAGGCUGGCAGCACACCCCUCCUGCCACUGGCAGCCAUGCCACGCCAGGUCAGGUGCGACCUUGCAGAAUCACGCAUGCACUUGCCUCAAGGCCAGGGAAGUGACGCAAUGGGCGCAGCUGGGGUUAAUUACAGGCUGCAGGGAGCGGUGGGGUCUGUGGGCGAGCAGGCUCCCCUUGAAGGUAUCCACACCCCAAGUUGCUUGAAACACUGCUGGCCUAAAAAGGCAUAUCUGGAAGCUACUUAGCUUUGAAAUGCCUGGCGCAGGAUAAAGUCCCAACUCCUUAGUAAGACUCUGGGGACCUUUUACAGCUAUGCCCACCCUGCUUUUCCAUCCUCAUCUCCUGCCACUGCCCGCCCCCCCAGCCCCCCGCACUUUUUGCUCGGUCCAGACCGAACGUGCCACGCCCCUCUGUGCCCUUUGUCCGGCACACGCCCUUGGGCCAGAAGGGCCCUUCUCUUCCCCACCUCAUUCUCCAUCCACUCGGGCGUAGCCCGGGCUCCUCCAGGGGCUGUGGGCACGAGCAGAGCGGGCACAGGCAGAGCUCCUAGGGGCACCGUUCGAGUGGGAGUGUGCGAAGUGGUGCCCCCGGAGCCCGCAGCCGGCCCUCCACGCGACCUAAGUCACUGGGGUCACUCCUCUCGAGGCUACCUCCGCGGCCAGCCACCAGAUGGCGCCCUUCCACCCUCGGGGGGCUCCGCAUUCCUCAGCCAAUCCACUGCGCGGGAGCCGGCUAGUGCGCGCGAGGGUGGCCACGCUCUUGGGGCGCGAGCUUCCCUUUGCUCCGCGUGGCCCCCGGACCUCCUGAGCCCAGUCGGGGCCGGCCGUGCGGUGCAUUUCCACCCCAUAAUGCCCCAUAGCUGCUCCCGAACACCCCUCAGCCACAGUUCCUGCCCAUAUAGACAGUGUGGGCUCGAGAAAUUGCCCCGAGUCAUCAGACCCUGCAGUGACGCUUAGCCUGUAAUAUACCAGCCCUCCACGCCCUGCUUGCCCAGGCCUGCCCUCCACCGUCAGCCUGUGCUCUCUUGGCUUGGGGAGGCCAAGAAGUGGGCCUGCGUGAGGGCGGGCCAGGCAGGCAGCCUAGCGAGGGUGACCUAGAGACUCCCUGAGCCUGUGGGCAGAGGGGAGGACCCCGCCGUGGCAGGGAGCUGGGCGUGAGAGACGGAACAGCGUAGCUGAAGAGCCAUUCAUCUGCCUUGCUUCAUAUCCUCAGUAGCGCCUGUAGGAUUUCUAUUUUUUAUUUAUUUAUUUUUUUGAGACAGAGUCUCGCU
Non-coding RNA from Microcebus murinus (gray mouse lemur), 2322 nucleotides. The record is from RefSeq and is a predicted model, not a curated record. Lineage: Eukaryota; Metazoa; Chordata; Mammalia; Primates; Cheirogaleidae.